AUAACGGCGUCGAGCGGCGGACGGGUGAGUAAUGCCUAGGAAAUUGCCCUGAUGUGGGGGAUAACCAUUGGAAACGAUGGCUAAUACCGCAUAAUACCUWCGGGUCAAAGAGGGGGACCUUCGGGCCUCUCGCGUCAGGAUAUGCCUAGGUGGGAUUAGCUAGUUGGUGAGGUAAUGGCUCACCAAGGCGACGAUCCCUAGCUGGUCUGAGAGGAUGAUCAGCCACACUGGAACUGAGACACGGUCCAGACUCCUACGGGAGGCAGCAGUGGGGAAUAUUGCACAAUGGGCGCAAGCCUGAUGCAGCCAUGCCGCGUGUGUGAAGAAGGCCUUCGGGUUGUAAAGCACUUUCAGUCGUGAGGAAGGUAGUGUAGUUAAUAGCUGCAUUAUUUGACGUUAGCGACAGAAGAAGCACCGGCUAACUCCGUGCCAGCAGCCGCGGUAAUACGGAGGGUGCGAGCGUUAAUCGGAAUUACUGGGCGUAAAGCGCAUGCAGGUGGUUUGUUAAGUCAGAUGUGAAAGCCCGGGGCUCAACCUCGGAAUAGCAUUUGAAACUGGCAGACUAGAGUACUGUAGAGGGGGGUAGAAUUUCAGGUGUAGCGGUGAAAUGCGUAGAGAUCUGAAGGAAUACCGGUGGCGAAGGCGGCCCCCUGGACAGAUACUGACACUCAGAUGCGAAAGCGUGGGGAGCAAACAGGAUUAGAUACCCUGGUAGUCCACGCCGUAAACGAUGUCUACUUGGAGGUUGUGGCCUUGAGCCGUGGCUUUCGGAGCUAACGCGUUAAGUAGACCGCCUGGGGAGUACGGUCGCAAGAUUAAAACUCAAAUGAAUUGACGGGGGCCCGCACAAGCGGUGGAGCAUGUGGUUUAAUUCGAUGCAACGCGAAGAACCUUACCUACUCUUGACAUCCAGAGA
Molecule: ribosomal RNA, 916 nt
Filed under: Vibrio harveyi
Lineage: Bacteria; Pseudomonadati; Pseudomonadota; Gammaproteobacteria; Vibrionales; Vibrionaceae
Description: bacterial SSU rRNA
Source: RNAcentral